UGGCUCAGGAUGAACGCUGGCGGCGUGCCUAACACAUGCAAGUCGAGGGGCUCGUUGUAGCAAUACGGCGAGCCACUGGCGCACGGGUGAGUAACACGUAGGUAAUCUACCCCCAACUCAGGCAUAACACUUCUAACGAGGUGCUAAUACCUGAUGAGGAGGCAGCUCCAAAGACCUUCGGGUCGGUUGGGGAUGAGCCUGCGUCCGAUUAGGUAGUUGGUAGGGUAAUGGCCUACCAAGCCGACGAUCGGUAGCUGGCCUGAGAGGGUGGUCAGCCACACUGGGACUGAGACACGGCCCAGACUCCUACGGGAGGCAGCAGUGAGGAAUAUUGGGCAAUGGGCGCAAGCCUGACCCAGCGACGCCGCGUGUGGGGAUGACAGGGGCUAUGCCUUGUAAACCACUGUCGGGGUGGGGACGAAAAGCGAGCUACGGGCUCGCCGGGGACGGGUACCACCGAAAGGGAAGGGGUCGGGCUAACUACGUGCCAGCAGCCGCCGCAGUAAC
RNAcentral lists this ribosomal RNA (507 nucleotides) under uncultured Chlorobiota bacterium. RNAcentral's name for it is "bacterial SSU rRNA". It matches the Rfam family "Bacterial small subunit ribosomal RNA", at positions 20 to 526 of the family's 1533-position model. Lineage: Bacteria; Pseudomonadati; Chlorobiota. The record is from RNAcentral.